UGACCUGCGGAAGGAUCAUUACCGAGUGAGGGCCCUCUGGGUCCAACCUCCCACCCAUGUUUAUUGUACCUUGUUGCUUCGGCGGGCCCGCCUCACGGCCGCCGGGGGGCUUCUGCCCUCUGGCCCGCGCCCGCCGAAGACACCAUUGAACACUGUCUGAAGAUUGCAGUCUGAGCAAUUAGCUAAAUAAGUUAAAACUUUCAACAACGGAUCUCUUGGUUCCGGCAUCGAUGAAGAACGCAGCGAAAUGCGAUACGUAAUGUGAAUUGCAGAAUUCAGUGAAUCAUCGAGUCUUUGAACGCACAUUGCGCCCCUUGGUAUUCCGGGGGGCAUGCCUGUCCGAGCGUCAUUGCUGCCCUCAAGCACGGCUUGUGUGUUGGGCCCCGUCCUCCUUCCCGGGGGACGGGCCCGAAAGGCAGCGGCGGCACCGCGUCCGGUCCUCGAGCGUAUGGGGCUUUGUCACCCGCUCUUGUAGGCCCGGCCGGCGCUUGCCGACAACCAUCAAUCUUUUUUCAGGUUGACCUCGGAUCAGGUAGGGAUACCCGCUGAACUUAAGCAUAUCAAUAAGCGGAGGAAAAGAAACCAACAGGGAUUGCCUCAGUAACGGCGAGUGAAGCGGCAAGAGCUCAAAUUUGAAAGCUGGCCCCCUCGGGGUCCGCAUUGUAAUUUGCAGAGGAUGCUUCGGGAGUGGCCCCCAUCUAAGUGCUCUGGAACGGGCCGUCAUAGAGGGUGA
Molecule: ribosomal RNA, 733 nt
Filed under: fungal sp.
Lineage: Eukaryota; Fungi
Description: eukaryotic LSU rRNA
Rfam family: Eukaryotic large subunit ribosomal RNA (bases 519-733)
Source: RNAcentral